AACGAACGCUGGCGGCAUGCCUAACACAUGCAAGUCGAACGAAGGCUUCGGCCUUAGUGGCGCACGGGUGCGUAACGCGUGGGAAUCUGCCCUUUGGUUCGGAAUAACAGCUGGAAACGGCUGCUAAUACCGGAUGAUGACGAAAGUCCAAAGAUUUAUCGCCAGAGGAUGAGCCCGCGUUGGAUUAGGUAGUUGGUGGGGUAAAGGCCUACCAAGCCGACGAUCCAUAGCUGGUCUGAGAGGAUGAUCAGCCACACUGGGACUGAGACACGGCCCAGACUCCUACGGGAGGCAGCAGUGGGGAAUAUUGGACAAUGGGCGCAAGCCUGAUCCAGCAAUGACGCGUGAGUGAUGAAGGCCCUAGGGUUGUAAAGCUCUUUUACCCGGGAAGAUAAUGACUGUACCGGGAGAAUAAGCCCCGGCUAACUCCGUG
This 433-nucleotide ribosomal RNA is filed under the name uncultured bacterium. RNAcentral describes it as "partial 16S ribosomal RNA". It matches the Rfam family "Bacterial small subunit ribosomal RNA", at positions 29 to 507 of the family's 1533-position model. The record is from RNAcentral.